This 465-nucleotide ribosomal RNA is filed under the name uncultured bacterium. Its description in RNAcentral is "bacterial SSU rRNA". It matches the Rfam family "Bacterial small subunit ribosomal RNA", at positions 338 to 795 of the family's 1533-position model. The record is from RNAcentral.
CCUACGGGUUGCACCAGUCGAGAAUAAUUCACAAUGGACGAAAGUCUGAUGGUGCAACGCCGCGUGGAGGAUGAAGGUCUUCGGAUUGUAAACUCCUGUCAUCGGGAAGAAAGACCUGGAGGUGAAUAGCCUACAGGGUUGAUAGUACCCGAAGAGGAAGGGACGGCUAACUUCGUGCCAGCAGCCGCGGUAAUACGAAGGUCCCAAGCGUUGUUCGGAAUCACUGGGCGUAAAGGGAGCGUAGGCGGCGUGGUAAGUCAGGUGUGAAAUCCCGGGGCUCAACCCCGGAACUGCACCCGAUACUGCCGUGCUUGAGGGUUGGAGAGGUAGCUGGAAUUCUCGGUGUAGCAGUGAAAUGCGUGGAUAUCGAGAGGAACACUCGUGGCGAAGGCGAGCUACUGGACAACAUCUGACGCUGAGGCUCGAAGGCCAGGGGAGCAAAAGGGAUUAGAUACCCCAGUAGUC